UGAGGGAUAUUGCACAAUGGGCGCAAGCCUGAUGCAGCGACGCCGCGUGGGUGAUGACGGUUUUCGGACUGUAAAACCCUUUUCUAGAUGACGAGCAAGGACGGUAGUCUAGGAAUAAGUGUCGGCUAACUACGUGCCAGCAGCCGCGGUAAAACGUAGGACACGAGCGUUAUCCGGAGUUACUGGGCGUAAAGGGCGUGCAGGCGGUUGCGUAAGACUGGUGUGAAAGCGCCCGGCUUAACCGGGCGAGGACACUGGUGACUGCGCGACUAGAGGCAGAUAGAGGGGUGUAGAAUUCCGGGUGUAGUGGUGAAAUGCGUAGAGAUCCGGAGGAAUACCAGAGGCGAAGGCGGCACCCUGGGUCUGACCUGACGCUGAGACGCGACAGCAUGGGGAGCGAACGGG
Molecule: ribosomal RNA, 405 nt
Filed under: uncultured bacterium
Lineage: Bacteria
Description: bacterial SSU rRNA
Rfam family: Bacterial small subunit ribosomal RNA
Source: RNAcentral